AACGAACGCUGGCGGCAUGCCUAACACAUGCAAGUCGAACGAGACCUUCGGGUCUAGUGGCGCACGGGUGCGUAACGCGUGGGAACCUGCCCUUAGGUUCGGAAUAACUCCCCGAAAGGGGUGCUAAUACCGGAUAAUGUCUUCGGACCAAAGAUUUAUCGCCUUUGGAUGGGCCCGCGUUGGAUUAGCUAGUUGGUAGGGUAAAAGCCUACCAAGGCGACGAUCCAUAGCUGGUCUGAGAGGAUGAUAAGCCACACUGGGACUGAGACACGGCCCAGACUACUACGGGAGGCAGCAGUGGGGAAUAUUGGACAAUGGGCGAAAGCCUGAUCCAGCAAUGCCGCGUGAGUGAUGAAGGCCUUAGGGUUGUAAAGCUCUUUUACCCGGGAUGAUAAUGACAGUACCGGGAGAAUAAGCUCCGGCUAACUCCGUG
This 433-nucleotide ribosomal RNA is filed under the name uncultured bacterium. RNAcentral describes it as "partial 16S ribosomal RNA". It matches the Rfam family "Bacterial small subunit ribosomal RNA", at positions 29 to 507 of the family's 1533-position model. The record is from RNAcentral.